GACGAACGCUGGCGGCGUGCCUAAUACAUGCAAGUAGAACGCACAGUUUAUACCGUAGCUUGCUACACCAUAAACUGUGAGUUGCGAACGGGUGAGUAACGCGUAGGUAACCUGCCUGGUAGCGGGGGAUAACUAUUGGAAACGAUAGCUAAUACCGCAUAAUAUUGAUUAUUGCAUGAUAAUUGAUUGAAAGAUGCUAUUGCAUCACUACCAGAUGGGCCUGCGUUGUAUUAGCUAGUAGGUGAGGUAACGGCUCACCUAGGCGACGAUACAUAGCCGACCUGAGAGGGUGAUCGGCCACACUGGGACUGAGACACGGCCCAGACUCCUACGGGAGGCAGCAGUAGGGAAUCUUCGGCAAUGGACGAAAGUCUGACCGAGCAACGCCGCGUGAGUGAAGAAGGUUUUCGGAUCGUAAAGCUCUGUUGUAAGAGAAGAACGGGUGUGAGAGUGGAAAGUUCACACUGUGACGGUAUCUUACCAGAAAGGGACGGCUAACUACGUG
RNAcentral lists this ribosomal RNA (505 nucleotides) under uncultured bacterium. RNAcentral describes it as "partial 16S ribosomal RNA". It matches the Rfam family "Bacterial small subunit ribosomal RNA", at positions 28 to 507 of the family's 1533-position model. The record is from RNAcentral.